UGUAAACAUGGAAAACUAUUUCUUGCCUUAUUCUAUAAGCGAACUACUGAAGCUGAAAUUAUAACAUGCAUACGAGAUUGACAAAAUAUUGAAAAUGAACUAACCAUUUUACAAAUUGAUUUAAACCCUCGUUCCUACAAUUGAUUUAAACUAAGGGAAUUUACAGCUAGAAAAUAUUAUCAACAUGGGUUCAAACAUUGGUCUAUAUGUUGCCUAACGGAAUCAAACACUGCCUAUUUAAAAUAUGCCUCAAAUACAAUGAACCAAUUAGAAAUGAAAUCUGACACCUAAUCCAUUAACUAUUGCAUUUACUAAUAAGAUACAGACUUACUGAUUUCAUUCCAACAACAUGCUUAAACUGUCACUGAUUUUUUAAAACUUCAAAAAAAUGUCAUUAUACCAACAAGGAGUACCUACAACUGGUACAUACAACCUAAUAGACUCAUUUUUUUGAAACUUCAGAAAUCAAACCAUAAGUGCUACUUUACAGUUUAUUAGAAGUUAUAGCCAACCCCCAUUACAAGACCAAGUUCCACUUGAAUAUGAAUUAAACUACAUUAUUCCAAUACAUGAUGUAAUCAACAAAAACUAGGAUUAACAACAACUAGGUCCACCUGCCUAUUGUAGGAAUUAGUUAACAGUUCCCAUAUUAACAAAAGACUCAAUCCAUUAACAAUAAACGAUUAUAUUAAAACAAAUAAAACUACUAAAUGAAGCCUAUCAGACACAUUUAAACUCCUGUAGCAAUUUCAUUUCGACUUCAACUUUGGAGAUACAUGGAAUUGAACGAAGAAAAGUGUACCUAGUAUUUGGAAACAAAAGCAGAAGAAAGUGAGAAAUCAGCAAGACAGUAGCAAACACAGCAACACUCAGCGACAAACAGCAAAACCUAUUAACAAACAGUAGGAGACAACCCAGGGACGGAUUUGAAAACCAAGCAGGAACCCAGGACACUCAAUGAAGCAGUACUCAAAACCAACAGAAAACCCAUGAAUAACAAUCUGAAACUCAAUAGUGCCAAAUGCAGUCCACAGAAGCAGUAACAGAGAUUUGAUUUCGGCAGUAAAGAAAAGGACCUCACUUUCAGUUUUUAUCUCUCAAAGACUGACCUUUUUUUUGUUCUGAAAAAUCAGCCUAUCUCUCAUUUUUAAGUUCUGAAAUUUUUGAUGUGUAAAUUCAGUCCCCUCUUCUGUCCUUAGUGUCCUCUAUUUAUAGGCUAGAACUAAAAAAAUUCUAUCCAAAGUUUUCAUUUUUUUCCAGUAUAUUCCCUCCUAUACCCUUUUAUCAUUCAGCGCACUUGCUUCUGCCUUUACAACCUUACAAGCACUAUGUUUUACAACCUUUUUCAGAAUGUCUUCUCUUUUCAGUCAUUUUGAAGUCUAAACCUCAUGUUAUUCUCUGUAGAACCAUUACCUCAUGUCCAACCAUUAUUUUAAUUCAAACUAAGUAUGACAUCCUGAAUUUUAAAUUCAGGCGUGCCUGACAACACAUGGUCUCCACUCAACCCCAGCAUUUCAACUCAGUAACUAACAGAUUCAAUCAACAACUAGAAGCAAACAACAAAUUCAUGAUAUUUAAACUGACCAAACAAUUCAAUCCUAUGUUAUUACUGACUACUCAAUGAAUUAAUAUCUAAACUUAAGCAUUCAGACAGACUAAUCAUUUAACAUUGUGACGCACUAAUCUCAUAUGAACAGACUGACAAGGUGAUUCCAAUGGUUUUGGACAAAAACAGGGAACUUGCACGAAACUAUUACUCGACGACAUUAAUCAAAUCGAAUGUAUAGUUUAUAAUACAUAUUUAACAAUGAAUAGGAGAAAAAUCGACCAAAUAAACGGUUUGGUUUGAGAAGAAGAAGAACGGAACGAUUGACAAAAAUUAGAAAAACCAAUAAACUAAACUAAAUGGAUAAACAGAUAUAUAUAUAUAUAUAUAUAUAUAUAUAUAUAUAUAUAUAUACACACACACAAACAUAGAAUAAAGGAGAAAGGAAAAAAAACACCUCAGAAAACAAGACGACUCAGUUCGAACUCAGACUCGACCACUUUGAGGUCGAACGGACCUUAGUCGAAGUGUUCUCACCUGAGAAGACUUUGAUUAAGGUCGAUUAUACCCCAAAUCUUCACUUAAUUUGACGGAUUACAGUUUUAGAAACUCUAGGGUUCUUACCGUUGAUUUGGGGCUCGAAGGUUUCUAGCAGAUUCGAAGGGAACCAACGUUGUCUAGGGUAUGAGGGAGGUCAGGGGGUGUUAUGGUGUGAAUUUGGGUCCGGUUGGAUUGUUUUGCAUUUUACUCGAAUCUUCAAUGAACUACGGAAUGAUUCGAGGAAAACGGUUAAGGGAUUCGUGUUCAGUGUGUCAAGGGGGUUAAGGGUAUUAGUUUGGUCUCCGGCGGCGGCGUUGCCGCCGGGUUUCUGGUGAAGGCCUGAGGGGGAGGCUAGGGUUUCGAAGGGGUAUGUUUGGAUUCAUCUCUGAGAGANNNNN
This 2484-nucleotide long non-coding RNA is filed under the name Nicotiana benthamiana. RNAcentral describes it as "long non-coding RNA (NBEN_LNC025869)". Lineage: Eukaryota; Viridiplantae; Streptophyta; Magnoliopsida; Solanales; Solanaceae. The record is from RNAcentral.